GUCUUUUUGUUUUUUAUAUAAGGUCAGACCUGCCCAAUGAAUUUUAAAUGGCCGCAGUACUUUAACUGUGCAAAGGUAGCAUAAUAAUUUGUUUUUUAAUUGGAAACUAGUAUGAAUGGUCAUACGAGGGAUUGACUUUCUUUAUCUUACUUAAAUUAAUUUUAUUUUUCUGUGAAAAAGCAGAAAUUUCAUUAGUAGACGAUAAGACCCUUUAAAACUUUAUUCAUUAUAGAAGUAUAAUUUUGUUAGGUUUUAAUAGUGUACUUUUUUAAUGAGUUUUGUUGGGGCGACAGGUAAAUUUAUUUAACUUUAUUUUUGUUUUUCACUAAUUAGUGUUUAUUUGAUCCAGAUUUAGUUUUGAUUAUAAGUUUAAGUUACUUAA
RNAcentral lists this ribosomal RNA (382 nucleotides) under Cimex lectularius (bed bug). Its description in RNAcentral is "partial 16S ribosomal RNA". Lineage: Eukaryota; Metazoa; Arthropoda; Insecta; Hemiptera; Cimicidae. The record is from RNAcentral.